RNAcentral lists this ribosomal RNA (372 nucleotides) under uncultured organism. RNAcentral describes it as "partial 16S ribosomal RNA". It matches the Rfam family "Bacterial small subunit ribosomal RNA", at positions 527 to 896 of the family's 1533-position model. The record is from RNAcentral.
GUAGGUGGCAAGCGUUGUCCGGAAUUAUUGGGCGUAAGGCGCGCGCAGGCGGUUCUUUAAGUCUGAUGUGAAAGCCCACGGCUCAACCGUGGAGGGUCAUUGGAAACUGGAGAACUUGAGUACAGAAGAGGAAAGCGGAAUUCCACGUGUAGCGGUGAAAUGCGUAGAGAUGUGGAGGAACACCAGUGGCGAAGGCGGCUUUCUGGUCUGUAACUGACGCUGAGGCGCGAAAGCGUGGGGAGCAAACAGGGAUUAGAUACCCUGGUAGUCCACGCCGUAAACGAUGAGUGCUAAGUGUUAGGGGGGUUUCCGCCCCCUUAGUGCUGCAGCUAACGCAUUAAGCACUCGCCUGGGGAUACGGCCGCAAGGCUG